RNAcentral lists this small RNA (298 nucleotides) under Natronomonas moolapensis 8.8.11. Its description in RNAcentral is "5' ureB small RNA". It matches the Rfam family "5' ureB small RNA". Lineage: Archaea; Methanobacteriati; Methanobacteriota; Halobacteria; Halobacteriales; Natronomonadaceae. The record is from Rfam by way of RNAcentral.
UGCUCGAACAGCCCCGUGCUGUUGAAGUGGACGUGGAUGUCGAGCCCGCCCGGUGUGGCGAUGAGGCCGUCGGCGGGCACGGCGUCGGUGCUCGCCCCGACGACGAGGUCGUCGUCGACGCCGUCCAUCGUGUCGGGGUUGCCGGCCUUGCCGACGCCGGCGAUCCGGCCGUUCCGGACGCCGAUGUCGCCCUUUUCGAUCCCGAGGAUCGGGUCGAUCACGACGGCGUUCGAGAACACCCAAUCGAGCGCGCCUUCGGCCUGCGUGACGCCCGACUGCAUCCCCAUGCCGUCGCGCA